AUUUUAGUUUCAUACAUAAUUUUUCUAACGUGUUUUCAGUUUAAAUAUUAUUUUUACAUUCAUUAUUUUACAAUGCAAAGAAAUGCUGCCUAAUAUCGUAGGAGUCUCCAAAUGUAUGCUAAAGCUGUUUCUUGCCUAUUCCUGACACUAACAGUGGCAACAUCUCUCGUGGAUGACCAGCCGUAUUGCUCGUUACGGUAUAGGCGACUGUGUCAGGGUAAAGGUCGUCAUGUAGCUUGUCAGUUUCCUGUUCCGGGCCCUAAUCCAUACUGUGUGAAUUAUACCAAAAUUAAAUUCACCGGGGACUUAAGAAAUUUUAUAACCCACUACAUCAACAGGCGUAGACAGCGGAUAGCAACGGGCAACGAACGCGUGCGUGGCGGCGCACAUAUACCCAAACCAGAGAUUAUGAUGUGGGUUAGCUGGGACCGUGAGUUAGCCCAUUUGGCUCAACGCCUUGCAGACCAAUGUCGCUUUGUGCACGAUGACUGUAGAGCUACUGUUCGCUAUCCGUACGCGGGCCAAACAGUGGGUGAGGUGCGAUGGCGACGUUCCAGUGAUUCGGAAGAGCUAAGCGCUCAGCGAGCCAUACGCAGGGUAUUCGAUGCCUGGUGGGGAGAAAGACGGCGGGUGCAGCCCAAACAGCUUAUUGCGCCGUUUAGAUUAACUCCCAAAGGCAGCGUUUGGGGCCACUUCAGUCAAUUAGCAGUGUGGACCCUAAGAGCUGUUGGUUGUGGGGCGGUGACCCACGGCGAUGCGCAGACGCGUAUGUUGCUCGUAUGUGACUUCUCACACACGAACAUGCUUGGAGAGAGAACCAUCAAUCCCGGUCCAUUAGCCGCGUGUCCUGCUCAUACGGCGAGGAAGAUACGCACUUCAUAUCCUUUGCUGUGUGCUCCGAUGAGACAAACCACCGAGUCGAGUCAUGAAGAGUACGACGGCUAUGCAAGUGAUGAAGACGAUGAGGCAGAGUUGGAGGAAGUCGAUAAAGAAAAGCUGCCACGGAAGCACCUGGAUAUUGGCUAUCUCACAACGCGAAAGACGACUAGGGCAUUAGAUAUUUUGGAACAGGAAUUAGAAAAACCGCGGAGUAAGACCCAACUUAAGGCAUGGCCUACCAGACCACGAUUAGAAGUUCAUGGACUGGAUAAUAGAGAAUCAGAUGAAAAAAAAUUUGCUGAUAAGUUACAACAUUUGUACAGAAGUCAGACGAAAGAAGAUGUGUUUGUUGAUAAAGGUUUUAUGGAACCACCACAAAUUCGUCAAGAUCCAGUUCAUAAGGUCGUAUUUUCAGGAGCAAGUGAUCAGGCAAAGAUGGAAACAAACAAGAUUUAGACCACGAAGGCCGGGUGCAAAAGCUUUAUUCAAUAAACCGGAGAACCAAUAUGAGAGAUCUUCAUUGCCAUCUCUGAUGAUCGAUAAAGAUGAUAUGGACCAAUUGUUUCGUGACACAGGCUUCAAGAUUUCCGGACGAAAAAGAUAACAAAUACAUUUUUGUUUUCAA
This is an RNA transcript of Pieris napi, 1504 nucleotides long. It is a transcript of the gene named allergen Tab y 5.0101-like, with no coding region annotated. Lineage: Eukaryota; Metazoa; Arthropoda; Insecta; Lepidoptera; Pieridae. The transcript has 13 exons. The record is from RefSeq and is a predicted model, not a curated record.